CACCUUGCACCUUUAAUAACUAUGAACACAACAUUCCCAUCUAGUCCUGACUCAAGGUUACACAUUCAUCAAAAGCCAUUUUUUAAAACAAGAGAGUCACUAGAAGUGCAGUAUCAUAUUUGAAAUGGUACACCAUCAACAAUAUGACCAUGCCACUAGAAGAGUACAAUAUUAAUUCAUUAACCAGCAUUAUUACAGCAGGACCAGCUUACCCGGUUAGACCAGAAAACCAAUGGCAAUUCAUUUACCUUGGUUGGCUGAGCAACUAGACUGUUUAAACAACAACAUAGUUAAAACCCAG
RNAcentral lists this unclassified non-coding RNA (301 nucleotides) under Hevea brasiliensis (rubber tree). The record is from RNAcentral. Lineage: Eukaryota; Viridiplantae; Streptophyta; Magnoliopsida; Malpighiales; Euphorbiaceae.